RNAcentral lists this ribosomal RNA (2979 nucleotides) under Salmonella enterica subsp. enterica serovar Weltevreden. RNAcentral's name for it is "bacterial LSU rRNA". It matches the Rfam family "Bacterial large subunit ribosomal RNA". Lineage: Bacteria; Pseudomonadati; Pseudomonadota; Gammaproteobacteria; Enterobacterales; Enterobacteriaceae. The record is from RNAcentral.
UUAAGCGACUAAGCGUACACGGUGGAUGCCCUGGCAGUCAGAGGCGAUGAAGGGCGUGCUAAUCUGCGAUAAGCGCCGGUAAGGUGAUAUGAACCGUUAUAACCGGCGAUACCCGAAUGGGGAAACCCAGUGUGAUUCGUCACACUAUCAUUAACUGAAUCCAUAGGUUAAUGAGGCGAACCGGGGGAACUGAAACAUCUAAGUACCCCGAGGAAAAGAAAUCAACCGAGAUUCCCCCAGUAGCGGCGAGCGAACGGGGAGGAGCCCAGAGCCUGAAUCAGCAUGUGUGUUAGUGGAAGCGUCUGGAAAGGCGCGCGAUACAGGGUGACAGCCCCGUACACAAAAGCGCAUGUGCUGUGAGCUCGAUGAGUAGGGCGGGACACGUGGUAUCCUGUCUGAAUAUGGGGGGACCAUCCUCCAAGGCUAAAUACUCCUGACUGACCGAUAGUGAACCAGUACCGUGAGGGAAAGGCGAAAAGAACCCCGGCGAGGGGAGUGAAAAAGAACCUGAAACCGUGUACGUACAAGCAGUGGGAGCCCCACCACCAAAGCGUUUCGCUUUGUGUGGUGCACAAAGAAGCGUAACGACAGCACUGAAUGACGGUUAACGGAGCGCAAGCGACGUUCAACAUACAAAGUCAAGCAGUGGAGCGCUUUGGGGUGGGGUGACUGCGUACCUUUUGUAUAAUGGGUCAGCGACUUAUAUUCUGUAGCAAGGUUAACCGAAUAGGGGAGCCGGAGGGAAACCGAGUCUUAACCGGGCGUUAAGUUGCAGGGUAUAGACCCGAAACCCGGUGAUCUAGCCAUGGGCAGGUUGAAGGUUGGGUAACACUAACUGGAGGACCGAACCGACUAAUGUUGAAAAAUUAGCGGAUGACCUGUGGCUGGGGGUGAAAGGCCAAUCAAACCGGGAGAUAGCUGGUUCUCCCCGAAAGCUAUUUAGGUAGCGCCUCGUGAAUUCAUCUCCGGGGGUAGAGCACUGUUUCGGCUAGGGGGCCAUCCCGGCUUACCAACCCGAUGCAAACUGCGAAUACCGGAGAAUGUUAUCACGGGAGACACACGGCGGGUGCUAACGUCCGUCGUGAAGAGGGAAACAACCCAGACCGCCAGCUAAGGUCCCAAAGUCAUGGUUAAGUGGGAAACGAUGUGGGAAGGCCCAGACAGCCAGGAUGUUGGCUUAGAAGCAGCCAUCAUUUAAAGAAAGCGUAAUAGCUCACUGGUCGAGUCGGCCUGCGCGGAAGAUGUAACGGGGCUAAACCAUGCACCGAAGCUGCGGCAGCGACGCUUAUGCGUUGUUGGGUAGGGGAGCGUUCUGUAAGCCUGUGAAGGUGGCCUGUGAGGGUUGCUGGAGGUAUCAGAAGUGCGAAUGCUGACAUAAGUAACGAUAAAGCGGGUGAAAAGCCCGCUCGCCGGAAGACCAAGGGUUCCUGUCCAACGUUAAUCGGGGCAGGGUGAGUCGACCCCUAAGGCGAGGCCGAAAGGCGUAGUCGAUGGGAAACGGGUUAAUAUUCCCGUACUUGGUGUUACUGCGAAGGGGGGACGGAGAAGGCUAUGUUGGCCGGGCGACGGUUGUCCCGGUUUAAGCGUGUAGGUGUGUGUUCCAGGUAAAUCCGGUUCACUUUAACACUGAGGCGUGAUGACGAGGCACUACGGUGCUGAAGCAACAAAUGCCCUGCUUCCAGGAAAAGCCUCUAAGCAUCAGGUAACAUCAAAUCGUACCCCAAACCGACACAGGUGGUCAGGUAGAGAAUACCAAGGCGCUUGAGAGAACUCGGGUGAAGGAACUAGGCAAAAUGGUGCCGUAACUUCGGGAGAAGGCACGCUGACACGUAGGUGAAGUGAUUUACUCAUGGAGCUGAAGUCAGUCGAAGAUACCAGCUGGCUGCAACUGUUUAUUAAAAACACAGCACUGUGCAAACACGAAAGUGGACGUAUACGGUGUGACGCCUGCCCGGUGCCGGAAGGUUAAUUGAUGGGGUCAGCGCAAGCGAAGCUCCUGAUCGAAGCCCCGGUAAACGGCGGCCGUAACUAUAACGGUCCUAAGGUAGCGAAAUUCCUUGUCGGGUAAGUUCCGACCUGCACGAAUGGCGUAAUGAUGGCCAGGCUGUCUCCACCCGAGACUCAGUGAAAUUGAACUCGCUGUGAAGAUGCAGUGUACCCGCGGCAAGACGGAAAGACCCCGUGAACCUUUACUAUAGCUUGACACUGAACAUUGAGCCUUGAUGUGUAGGAUAGGUGGGAGGCUUUGAAGCGUGGACGCCAGUCUGCGUGGAGCCGACCUUGAAAUACCACCCUUUAAUGUUUGAUGUUCUAACGUGGACCCGUAAUCCGGGUUGCGGACAGUGUCUGGUGGGUAGUUUGACUGGGGCGGUCUCCUCCUAAAGAGUAACGGAGGAGCACGAAGGUUGGCUAAUCCUGGUCGGACAUCAGGAGGUUAGUGCAAUGGCAUAAGCCAGCUUGACUGCGAGCGUGACGGCGCGAGCAGGUGCGAAAGCAGGUCAUAGUGAUCCGGUGGUUCUGAAUGGAAGGGCCAUCGCUCAACGGAUAAAAGGUACUCCGGGGAUAACAGGCUGAUACCGCCCAAGAGUUCAUAUCGACGGCGGUGUUUGGCACCUCGAUGUCGGCUCAUCACAUCCUGGGGCUGAAGUAGGUCCCAAGGGUAUGGCUGUUCGCCAUUUAAAGUGGUACGCGAGCUGGGUUUAGAACGUCGUGAGACAGUUCGGUCCCUAUCUGCCGUGGGCGCUGGAGAACUGAGGGGGGCUGCUCCUAGUACGAGAGGACCGGAGUGGACGCAUCACUGGUGUUCGGGUUGUCAUGCCAAUGGCACUGCCCGGUAGCUAAAUGCGGAAGAGAUAAGUGCUGAAAGCAUCUAAGNGUCUCCUGAAGGAACGUUGAAGACGACGACGUUGAUAGGCCGGGUGUGUAAGCGCAGCGAUGCGUUGAGCUAACCGGUACUAAUGAACCGUGAGGCUUAACCUU